UCCUCCCUCAGGUCCGUCCCGACGCCUCCAUCGCUGUCAUCCACCCACAGACCUACACCUCCUCUGCCUCCAUCCACCCUCUGGUCUACACCUCCAGCCCCCAUCAGGUCUGCCCCGACACCCCCUUUGCCUCCAUCCAUCCUCACAUCCCAUCCUGACACAGUGAUGCGAGCGAGAGAAACUGAUUAGAAUGUGUACUUUUCAUUUGGCCUGUUUAAUUGUCUGAUUCAGGUGUCUGUGCUGACAUCUCCUUUGCCUCUAUCCAACUGGUCUACAAUGACACUUUUUUGCUUUUAUUCUUCCUUAGGUCAGCCAUGUCAUCACCCGAAUCCCUGCCAACGAGGGACAUCCUUUUACGCAUCCUCGAACUUCUUGAGGAACUUAAAGAAGACAAUCGAGCCACUAGAAGGAUGCUACAAGCGCAGCGUGGCAACGGUGGCAACACCCUUUCUUUUAUCCCAGAUGGUUUCCCCCUAAAGACAGUUAGAGAAGUCGAAGAAAUGGAGGAGAAACUGUCUGACCCAAGCUUCAUGUCUGACCUGCAGUGGCAGACAUUGGAGGGAGCACUGUGGAUGAGGCCACAAGACGGAUGAUGGUCUUCAUCAUGGACCAUGACCUGUCAAGGCUGUAUAAUUUUGUGGGCCGGAAUGGCAAGCGGGAAUUCCGGUCUUUAAAGCUGUUUGAAGUUAUAUUUGGAGCUUUAAAGAA
Molecule: long non-coding RNA, 708 nt
Organism: Fundulus heteroclitus (mummichog)
Lineage: Eukaryota; Metazoa; Chordata; Actinopteri; Cyprinodontiformes; Fundulidae
Exons: 3
Source: RefSeq, a predicted model, not a curated record